This 421-nucleotide unclassified non-coding RNA is filed under the name uncultured Russula. RNAcentral describes it as "sequence contains ITS2". The stretch from base 1 to 154 matches the Rfam family "5.8S ribosomal RNA". Lineage: Eukaryota; Fungi; Basidiomycota; Agaricomycetes; Russulales; Russulaceae. The record is from RNAcentral.
AACUUUCAACAACGGAUCACUUGGCUCUCGCAUCGAUGAAGAACGCAGCGAAAUGCGAUACGUAAUGUGAAUUGCAAAAUUCAGUGAAUCAUCGAAUCUUUGAACGCACCUUGCGCCCCUUGGUAUUCCGAGGGGUGCAUCCGUUUGAGUGUCGUGAACACCCUCAACCUUCUUGGUUUAUCGACCGGGAAGGAUUGGACUUUGGAGGUUUUUGUUGCUGGCCUCGUUUGAAGCCAGCUCCUCCUAAAUGAAUUAGUGGGGUCCGCCGUGCCGAUCCUCGACGUGAUAAGUACGCUUCUACGUCUUGGGGUUUCGCACCGUUCUCGCUUCCAACUUCGAGUUGUGACUCGACCUUAUAAACCUUGACCUCAAAUCGGGUGAGACUACCCGCUGAACUUAAGCAUAUCAAUAAGCGGAGGCU